CUUUUUUCAUUAGGCAGCAGCUAAGCCAUAUUCACUUGGGUUUACUCAUUGAAACAUGAGUCAGAUGCAACGAAGGUUAUUCCAAGAUUUUUUUAUAUGGUAGAAACCUAAUCUAAGACACAAGUAAAGUUGAUUAGACUAGAGACUAGCCAUAAUUAAUCUGCCUGACGAAAGGGAUGUCUUGCAUUAGUUCAGUUGUGUAGAAAGGCCACAAUACUCAGUUGAAACGUGAAUAUCAACAUAUUUAAAUGUUGCAAGGGCACUAUAUUUUCAAUCUCGAUUACCUAUUAAAAUUUGGACAGCAUGUAUAUUGACAGCCAUUUGUUUAAUCAACGGAAUAUCAUCUCCUCUGUUGAAAAAUAAAUCUCCAUAUGAAAUUUUAUAUAAUGAGCUUGCAGAUUAUUCCAAUCUUAGGUGUUUGGUUGUUUGGCUUUUGCAUCAACUUCGAUCAAUCAUCGGACUAAAUUCCAACUUCGUGCUAUGAUUUGUGUGUUUUUGGGGUAUCCAGCAAAAGUGAAAGGAUACAAAUUGUAUGAUAUUGAAUCAGAGAGGAUUUUCAUAUCUAGGCAAGUCAUUUUCCAUGAAAAAAUUUAUCUUGUCAUAAGGUUGUAGAGGCAGAUAAGCUCAUUGAUCCUUGCAAGAUGACAACUCAAAAGUCUCCUUAUCACAUUGGAAACUGUCUCAUAUGCAGCCUUCUCUCCAUCUCAUAGGGAGUAUGUGUUAAGUGUUGAACCAUUGUGAACUAUAAUUCUUCCAUCAGCUUGUCAAACUUCCUCAAUGGCGUGAGGCUACGAAGCUGGAGUUGGAGGAUAUGGAGUGUAAUAACACGUGGUCUAUCGUUCCAUUGCCACGGGGAAAGCACUACAUUGGCUAAUGGUGGAUUUGUAAAAUUAAAUACAAAUCAGAUGGCAUUGUCAAAAGGAACAAUGUAAACCUUAUAGCAUAAGGUUAUACUCAAUAAGAAGGGCUUGAUUAUUUUGAUACCUUUUCUCCUGUGGCUAAAAGAGUAAUUUUCGUAGAUUUAUUGG
Molecule: long non-coding RNA, 1028 nt
Filed under: Olea europaea subsp. europaea
Lineage: Eukaryota; Viridiplantae; Streptophyta; Magnoliopsida; Lamiales; Oleaceae
Source: RNAcentral